Dunckerocampus dactyliophorus (ringed pipefish) is the source of this 2976-nucleotide RNA transcript. It is a transcript of the gene named ubiquitin-conjugating enzyme E2 Q2-like, with no coding region annotated. Lineage: Eukaryota; Metazoa; Chordata; Actinopteri; Syngnathiformes; Syngnathidae. The transcript is spliced from 14 exons. The record is from RefSeq and is a predicted model, not a curated record.
AUGAUGCAGAGUGCAUGCAUUAUUGAGAACGUUGUCAUCUUUUAUCUUUCCUUCUCGACGUUACCCUGCAGCUCUUUUGUUGUUGUUGUUCUCACGCUAACAUGCGAGAUCCGCAGAGCCGCCUCGACUGCAUUCCGCCCCGACUUCCCCUCCGCUAGCGGCCUGCUCGCUUUGAGAUGAGCACAAGAUGUCGGUGUCGGGGCUGAAGGCCGAAUUGAAGUUUCUAGAGUCAAUCUUUGACCCAAACCACGAAAGAUUCCGAAUCAUAGACUGGAAACCCGACGAACUGAGUUGCCAGUUCAACGUAACAGGAGAGAAGCUGCUGAUCAUCCACUGCAACAUCACGGAGUCUUACCCCUCAACACCUCCGAUAUGGUUUGUAGACUCUGAUGAUCCAAGUCUUGCAGAAGUGUUGGAGCGCUUAGAGGAUGUCCGAAAAGGCAGCACGUUGCUUCUUCAGCAGCUGAAGCGCCUCAUUUGUGAUCUCUGUCGUCUUUACAACCUGCCUCAGCAUCCAGAUGUAGAGAUGCUCGACCAGCCUCUACCUGCUGGCCCCAUUAUCCAAGAGCGAAAGCACGGGCCAUCAGAUGAAGUGACAUCUGAGGAGGAAGAAGAGGAAGAAAUGGCAGAGCAGGACAUUGACCUGGACCAAGACUUGGACCAUUACGAGAUGAAAGAAGAGCCCGUGGAGGGCAAAAAGUCGGAAGAUGACGGGAUCGAAAAAGAAAACCUGGCAAUCCUGGAGAAGAUCCGUAAAAACCAGAGACAGGACCACUUGAAUGGGGCAGUCUCUGGGUCUGUGCAGGCCUCGGACCGCCUCAUGAAGGAACUCAGGGAGAUCUACAGAUCACAGAGUUACAAGACAGGUAUUUAUUCAGUGGAACUAGUCAACGACAGCCUUUAUGACUGGCAUGUCAAGUUAAGGACGGUAGACCCAGACAGUCCACUGCAUAGUGACUUGCAGGUCUUAAAAGAAAAGGAAGGAGUAGACUACAUUUUGCUCAAUUUCUCUUAUAAAGAUAAUUUUCCUUUUGACCCACCUUUUGUGCGGGUUGUCUCUCCUGUGCUCUCUGGAGGUUAUGUUCUAGGAGGAGGAGCCUUGUGUAUGGAACUUCUCACAAAACAGGGCUGGAGCAGUGCCUAUUCCAUAGAAUCUGUCAUUAUGCAGAUAAAUGCAACUCUAGUGAAAGGAAAGGCCAGAGUUCAGUUUGGGGCCAAUAAGACGAAGGUUUAAGACAACAAUGAACGAAGCAAGUACAGAGAAGGAGAGACAAAUGGAUGCAUCACCUCGCGUUUUGUUCUUUGCAAAGUUCAUUUUGCUGAAGACUGCUAUGAAGGAACCCCUUUACAAGAAGCAUUUGGCUUGAAAGUACGCUAUAAACGCAUUUUGGAUGCUAGGAUGCUAUUCCCGAUGCUAUGCUACACAGGAAAGGAGAAAGGCGUCAAAGUUGGCACAGAACAGAAACCAGUACAAUCUUGCCAGAGCACAACAGUCGUACAAAUCCCUUGUGCAGAUUCAUGAAAAGAACGGCUGGUACACACCCCCUAAAGAGGAUGGAUAAGGAUCUCCAACCACUAUGCACUGGGAACAUGGGUCAAAGUGUCUCAUUUUCUUUGGAGUAUUUCCCCCCAUCUGACUUGCUGGGAGUGUAUCACGUUUGUUGCACACCCGUCUGGUUGGUUCAUCUGAAAAGUAUUCCUUCAUAUGAUGUGAGGGUGUUACCUGCCCUGUUCAUAUAUCUUGGAUUGUCCUUUUCUCUGGUCCGAGCAUGGAGGAAAAAACUGCUUGGACAAAGUGGACUUCAAAUGAGAACGGUCAAAGUCAUACCCAAGCGCUUGGCGUUAUUUUGUUUUUUUUAACUAACAGGUACACAUAUUGUUUUUGAACUAUCUACCAAAUGUUUUUAAUUAUUAUAUGAGCAUCCUGGACAAUAAAUGAGCCAGUUGCCAUAGAUUUGAUGGUUAUCUUUAAAUGCAGCUGACCCUACACUCUUGUCUUUAAAAAAAAAAAAGAAAAAAAAAAGUGUGGCGCAUUUGGGGUCCACAGAACCAAACGGAGCUGGGUUGUCGUCUGAGAACUGGUCAAAAUUAGACAUCCUUGACAACAGGACACGAUGCGGUGAGAUUUGAAAAAGCUGAGCAUAACGUUUGCCUUAUCCCUGUCAACAUGUCACCCCUGCAAGAGAUGGCUUUCUAUUGGCUACGUUUGUGGUAGUAGUGCAACACUCACUUGUGGCUGGAAAGGUAGAUCCCUCUUCAGUAGAAUUGCGCUGAACUGACUUUGCAGAGUCAUUUAACAAAGGUUGUCGGGUUCAGUACUCGUGCAGUCGGUUAGUCCAGACAUGCCUUGAUUGUCGUGGUUUGCACCUUCCAACAAUCCUGUUACAUGACGGAGUUACCUGUUUUCUGUGCUGCUUUUGGCAUGAUAAAUGGAAGGAUUGCUUCUAGUGUGAGAGUGCUAAAUUUGUCUUAACUUGGUCACCGUCACUGCUGUCUUUCCCCGUACAGCGGCAGAUGUGAGAGGAACUUAGGAGGGAACCCAACUUGAUUGAUGCUCCGUGCUGUGCCCUUGCCUUCUGAGCACAUUUGUCAAACUCACCGAGGCCUCAAAAUCAAGGCGAAAGGACGCUGAGAUGCCAACUGGAGGGCAUCUUUCUCUGAAGCACUGGAUUGUGACAAAAGUGUACGCAACCCAGAAGACCAGAAUCAACUCCACGUGGGCACCGCCGACCUGCGGAUGCCAAAACUCCGCCUUGAGGGGUGAAAACAGGAGCUGGAAAGAUUGAAAGUCAGGCAGGUAGGAACGGCGUUGCGCACUUCUCGGAACUGGACUCAAUGAACAGAUGACGUCUCGCACAAUUUGCUUGCUUGGUUUUCAGUUUCUUUUUUGUUUUUCUUUUUCAUUUGAAGACAUUUGACCAUGUACAGUAAUUUGUAAACUUGCAUCAAGUUUAUGAAUAAAGAAUUUUAAGAUGA